This 209-nucleotide ribosomal RNA is filed under the name uncultured eukaryote. RNAcentral describes it as "partial 18S ribosomal RNA". It matches the Rfam family "Eukaryotic small subunit ribosomal RNA", at positions 606 to 830 of the family's 1831-position model. The record is from RNAcentral.
UUAAAGUUGUUGCAGUUAAAAAGCUCGUAGUUGAACUUCAGCCCUGGCUGGGCGGUCUGCCUCACGGUAUGUACUGUCUGGCUGGGGCUUACCUCUUGGUGAGCUCGCAUGUCGUUUAUUYGGUGUGUGAGGGAACCAGGACUUUUACUUUGAGAAAAUUAGAGUGUUCAAAGCAGGCAAAUGCCCGAAUACAUUAGCAUGGAAUAAUA